CACUAUAGCACUGAGCAGGAGAUUGGAACCCGUCUAGGGGUCUCUUAUACUUGGCAAAUGUGAACUUUGGUCUGUGGAUAAGUUGGUGGAAGUCUUAGUGGUUUGGAUCUUGUGUAAAGUCUUAUACAGACAGUGCUGGUCAGGGUGUGUGCCAAAGUCUAUGCCAAACCAGGUCCAUUGAGGCAGGUACAGUGCACAUGUACAUAUUUUUAAGUAUUUCUGAUAACAGAAACUGUUUUCUAGGAAUGUAACCUAGACUGCAGAAGAAAACGUAUAUCCCGGUUAAGUUUUGCCUCUGCUAAGCAAAUGGAAGAGCCAAGCAGACUAGUUCUUUCUCUGACACAAUGUGUGUUGGGGAUGACAUCAUUUGUUACCUUGCAGGGCAAUAGCAGGAGUAGCGUGUUAGGAUACGCUCUUGCUGGUCAUUUGAUGGUUUAGCCUUUUACUCUGGCUGGCUAGGGCUGGCUCACAGCUCAGGGUGCCCUUACCAUUGGGAAUAACCCAGAAGGAAGGGAGAAAGCUUGAGCGUUCCCAGCCUUCCUGUUGUCCCAGCUGUCCAGCAGGUGCUGGAAUGUGUCUUGCUUUACCUGGCAGAGAGCUUCUGGCGCAGCACAGGAAAUGUGGGCAUUCCCCACCCAGCCUUGACAGACGGGAGGGAAGAAGCAAAGCCAGGGGAAUCUAAAUUUGUUUUGGGGUUUCAAGCUGUCAGACUGGGAGGGUGAUUUUAACUGUGGGAUUUUUUUUCCCUUAGAUUUUCAUUUAUAGUUAUCACUAAAUAUAUUCCAAUGGUGGAAAAUUACAGCUCUUUACUUGCCAUUUGGCAGCUGUGACUUUUGAUCCCUGGUACCAAAACAAAAAAACGAAAAAACAAAACCAAAGGCAAAACCUAUGGCUGCUGCUCUCUUUACUGUGUCUAAAGGUGAGGCCUUUCACUGUAUCUCUCUCUUUCCUUUUUUUAAUUUUGCUUUUGCUGCUGGGAGUUAGCUCUGAAUUUGCCCUCAUUUCUGAGUGGAACCCUGGAAGUUGCCACCUUACACAUUAUUGGUAGAAAUCUUGCUUUGCAGCAGAAGCUACCGCAGUGGAGUGGGUGCGGAGAAACAACCGCCUCCUGGCUGCCACUGGCUUCAGGUGUUGUCUGAGUUCCACCUUUAGUGAGGCUGGUUGCUUACAUUGUCACAAACACAAUUAUGCCUCCUUUAACCUUUAGCUCAAAAAUAGCUGAGCCCUUGGGCUUGAGGGAACUGUGGACUGAAAAAAAUAUAAUACCACUACACAAAUGAAUACCCAGAAUUUUGGGCCACGGGUCAAUUUGAAUGACUUGUAGUGCUGUUUGCAGUUACAUACUGACCUCGGUUUUUUACUUUACUGGAAUGUUUUGAGCACCUUACUCAGGAGCUCAGAAAAGCUUAGUGGGAGAGCACUUGCCUAACAAGCUUGAGCUCUGGGUUAGGUCUUCAGCAUCCACACCACUGCUACCACCAAAAACAAAACAAAACAAAACACAAAACUGCACAGCACCAUACCAAACCCUGAGAGGUUUUUUUGGUUUCGUUUUUUAAACUUUUAAAACAGGUAAUAGCUUAUAUACCUGUCAUGUAUUGGUAUCUUCAAUGCAUUUUCAGAUUUAUUUUCUCAUUUUGUCCUUAUAAAACCAGGACGUAAUUUGGAAAGGAAUUAUCUUUGGUUAAAUGACACAAGCAAACAGUGGUGGCAUUAAGGUCCACCACGUAAGGUUUUUAGUUUUAAAAAAACUAAAGCCAAAUGGUUAAGUGUUUAAGUCUUAGUUUCUGCCACUUAUUAGCUGGUGUGACAUUGAACAAAGUAUUUGCCCCCUCUGAAUCAUACUUUCAGAGAUUCUUGGGAAAAUAACAGAUAGAUGCAUGAUGAAUAUUUUUAUGUGUUUUUGCACAUGACUGGACAUGAUGGUGCACAACUGUAAUCUUGACUAGUUGGGAGGCUGAGACAGGAGGAUUGAAAGUUUUAGACCAGCGUGGCCAAUUUAGCAAGACCCUGUUUCAAAAUAAAAUUAAAAAAACAAAAGGGCUAGAGAUGCAGCUCAGAUCCUGGGCUCCAUCUUCAGUACUUCAAACAACAACAACUCCAAAUAUGUUGUUAUAAAAAUAAAAACUGGAAAAUAAAAAUACAAAACUAAAACAAAAAAGGGAACACAUAGAAGCCCUGAGACUUAGCAUAAGGUUGGUAAUAAUUAGCUGCUUAGGUGAGGACAGGUGGGGAUGGGUAGGAGAACUAGCUGGUACGCAGGGCUCCUUAUGUUUGGGACCAUGGCAAGGCCUUAGAGCUCAUCCUGCCCAGUGCUAUUGCCACUG
Long non-coding RNA from Heterocephalus glaber (naked mole-rat), 2327 nucleotides. The record is from Ensembl. Lineage: Eukaryota; Metazoa; Chordata; Mammalia; Rodentia; Bathyergidae.